GAUUAGUGGCGAACGGGUGAGUAACACGUGAGUAACCUGCCCCUGACUCUGGGAUAAGCCCGGGAAACUGGGUCUAAUACUGGAUAUGACCUUUGACCGCAUGGUUUUUGGUGGAAAGAUUUAUCGGUUGGGGAUGGACUCGCGGCCUAUCAGCUUGUUGGUGAGGUAAUGGCUCACCAAGGCGACGACGGGUAGCCGGCCUGAGAGGGUGACCGGCCACACUGGGACUGAGACACGGCCCAGACUCCUACGGGAGGCAGCAGUGGGGAAUAUUGCACAAUGGGCGAAAGCCUGAUGCAGCGACGCCGCGUGAGGGAUGACGGCCUUCGGGUUGUAAACCUCUUUCAGUAGGGAAGAAGCGAAAGUGACGGUACCUGCAGAAGAAGCGCCGGCUAACUACGUGCCAGCAGCCGCGGUAAUACGUAGGGCGCAAGCGUUAUCCGGAUUUAUUGGGCGUAAAGAGCUCGUAGGCGGUUUGUCGCGUCUGCCGUGAAAGUCCGAGGCUCAACCUCGGAUCUGCGGUGGGUACGGGCAGACUAGAGUGAUGUAAGGGAGACUGGAAUUCCUGGUGUAGCGGUGAAAUGCGCAAAUAUCAAGAGGAACACCGA
RNAcentral lists this ribosomal RNA (608 nucleotides) under Arthrobacter sp. BS2. RNAcentral's name for it is "bacterial SSU rRNA". It matches the Rfam family "Bacterial small subunit ribosomal RNA", at positions 90 to 712 of the family's 1533-position model. Lineage: Bacteria; Bacillati; Actinomycetota; Actinomycetes; Micrococcales; Micrococcaceae. The record is from RNAcentral.